This 88-nucleotide microRNA precursor is filed under the name Tupaia belangeri (northern tree shrew). RNAcentral's name for it is "miRNA (ENSTBEG00000019720.1)". Lineage: Eukaryota; Metazoa; Chordata; Mammalia; Scandentia; Tupaiidae. The record is from RNAcentral.
CGUGCGUGUGUGCGUGUGUGUGCGUGUGUGUGUGUGUGUGUGUGUGCGCGCGCGCGAACCGUUAGACUGCGCCAGCCUCCAUUCCCGC